RNAcentral lists this transfer RNA (77 nucleotides) under Clostridia bacterium. Its description in RNAcentral is "tRNA-Asn". It matches the Rfam family "tRNA". Rfam says of the family: Transfer RNA (tRNA) molecules are approximately 80 nucleotides in length. Their secondary structure includes four short double-helical elements and three loops (D, anti-codon, and T loops). The record is from RNAcentral. Lineage: Bacteria; Bacillati; Bacillota; Clostridia.
GCCCACAUAGCUCAGCUGGUGGCAGCGAAUGACUGUUAAUCAUUAGGUCCUUGGUUCAAGUCCAAGUGUGGGCGCCA